Anolis carolinensis (green anole) is the source of this 4914-nucleotide long non-coding RNA. RefSeq lists it as uncharacterized. The transcript is spliced from 2 exons. The record is from RefSeq and is a predicted model, not a curated record. NCBI's taxonomy places the organism in Eukaryota, Metazoa, Chordata, Lepidosauria, Squamata, Anolidae.
CCCCUAUUUUUCAGAUUAAAAAAAACCCUGGUUUACUCAUGAAUUUUAACUGGUUAACCAAUUUUUCUUACACAAAAGUCUAUGAGACACAAAAAAAUUAAGAGUCCCUCCAGGCACUAUCUCAAGCAGAUAUUGACAGGCCUGUAACCCACCCCCCUCCCCCCAAUUUUCAAAACCCCUCCCGAAAUUUUUUUCUGGCUACGGACCUGCUCACAACCUCUGAGAAUGCCGGCCAUAGAUGUGGGCAAAACAUCAAAAGAGAAUGUUUCUGGAACAUGGCCAUACACCCUGGAAAACUCACAGGAAGCUGGGUUGCUGUGAGUCUUUCAGGCUGUAUGGCCAUGCUCCAGAAGCUUUCUCUCCUGACGUUUCGCCCACAUCUGUGGCAGGCAUCCUCAGAGGUUGUGCCCCUUAUAUGUAUGUUAACCGCCCUGAGUCCCUCUAGGGAGACAAGGUGGUCUAGAAAUAAAGUUUUGUUGUUAUUGUUGUUGUUGUCACUAACGCCCUUCAAUUGCGGUGACCAGAACUGGACACAGUGUGAUUCCAGGUGUGGUCUCACCAAGGCAGAAUAUAGGGGUAGCACGGCUUCCCUGGAUCUAGACUGUAUACUCCUAUUGAUGCAGGCCAAAAUCCGAUUGGCUUUUUCAGCCGCCACAUCACAUUGUUGGCUCACGUUUAACUUGUUGUCUACAAGGACCCCAAGCUUUUUUUCACACGUACUGCUGUCAAGCCAGGCGUCCCCCCAUUCUGCAUCUUUGCAUUUCAUUGGACACAGUAUUCAAGAUGUGGUCUGACAACGGCAGAAUAGCGGGGUAUCAUGACUUUCCUGGUCCUAGAUAUUUUACUCCUACUUAUGCAGACCAGUUUUUGUUUUUCCGUUGUGUUCCAUGUGGAGAAAUACUGCACUGCGGUAAUGCUCUCACCCGGCACCUUUUUCUGGCUGCCCCAUUCAACUCUCACAACAACAUUGCCGUCUCGCUCUCUUUCACUAUGGCAUUCACCUACCAAAGCUUUCCACUGAUUCAAAUCCGAGUCUGACAAUUCGUCCACACAUGGCCACUGUGUUUCUUUUUCUGUCUAGAUAUCUAAAAUGAGAUCCAAUGUGCGGCAGUUGUGUGUCCUGAAUACAAGAAAUGCAGGUUCAAAUUCCCUACUAAAGUUUGCGGAUGGUUCGCCCUGCUACUUCUCAGUCUCUUGGAUCCAAGAAGAAUGGAAGGGAGAGAAAUGCAAAAGAUAACAAUUAUGCCCAGAGCUACCGUUUCUGAAACCGGAGGCACCAGCAGGAGAGGCAGUGCAAAGUUUUGCAUGUCUUAUUGGUAACAGGUCUGUAAACAGUGGAGGCUGCUGGCCUUUUUCCUUUCCUUUUUACUAGCCUCUCCUUGGCCAGCUGCCUGUCUAAACAAUCGCAGUGCUGACACAUUAUGAGACACCAGGUGCCCUCUCCUUCAGCUGAUUUGGGGCUUUAAAGCUAUGCUAUGCUUUACUACAGCUGAGGUUGUAAAUUCCUUGGAGUUUCUGAAAGAGGAGAGUGCUGCAGGAGAUACAAGAACAAUAGAGAGAGUAGUGUGAGAAUUGGAAGGUAGGAGUAAUGUUGCUGGCAAUUACACUUGGACACAAAGUAAGGGGGAACGUCUCCCAGAUAAGACUCUCAAGCAGAGAGAAAGAUGGUGACAAUGCAGUAGCUAGUCUGUGAUAAAGGAGCAUGUGCAUAUGGGUUCAAAUUUGAGAUGAUGUGGGAGGAAGGAAAAAGAUCUUUUUAAAGUAUGAUCUGCUACUAUUUCCCUGAGGUGAAAGAAGUAAAUACCAACUUGAAGUUAGUUCCCACAGAUAAGAGUUGCUUGGAAGAUUUAAUACAUUGGGUUGCUGUGAGUUUUUCAGGCAGUAUGGCCAUGUUCCAGAAGCAUUCUCUCCUGACAUUUCACCCAUAUCUAUGGCAAGCAUCCUCAGAGGUUGUGACGUCUGUUGGAAACUAGGCAAGUGGGGUUUAUAUAUCUGUGGAAAAAAGAACUCUUGUUCCAACAGAUAAUACCUCCCAAGAAAGGAUUCCCUCAGGCAAGAAGCAGCCAGGCUUUGAAGCUGCAAGGCCAUUAGAUGUUAAUCAAGCUGGCCAAUUGCAUCGUUCACAUGUGCCUCAAACAGACAAGAGUUCUUUCUACCAGCCUGGACUUUCCACAGAUAUAUAAACCCCAUUUGCCUAGUUUACAACAGACCUCACAACGUCUGAGAAUGCCUGUCAUAGAUGUGGGUGAAAUGUCUGGAGAGAAUGCUUCUGGAACAUGGCCAGACAGCCCAGAAAAAUCACGGCAACCCAGUGAUUCUGGCUAUGAAAGCCUUCGACAACACAUUCAAUACAUUUAUAUACUAUCCUUUGCAGGACUCAAAACUAGCAUACCCAUGUUGUAUCCCAUCCAAGAGAAAAUCUUGUCAACCGGAAGGUCGGCAGUUUGAGUCGCGGAUCGGGAUGAGCUCUCGCCAUCAGCCCUAGCUUUUGCGUACCUAGCAGUUUGCAAACAGCAAUGUAAGUAGUUAAAUAGGUACUGCUUCAGUGGGGAGGUAAAAGGUGCCUCUGAAAACAUGCUGGCUAAUUCGAUCAGGAAGGCGUCCACGGACAUCGGCCUCCUUAGUGUGGAAAAUGGAACAACAGCACCUCCCCAUGGCCAAGUCGAGCACAGACUCUAGAUGCCGGAGAUGAAAAAGCAGGAAGCCUUGCCUCUGUCUGUGUGUCUCUGUUAUAAAUUGUGAUGGUAUUGAAUGUUUGCCUUGUAUGUAUUCUGUAAUCCGCUCUGAGUCACCUCGGGGAGACCGAGCGGAAUAUAAAUAAGGUAUAUUGUUAUUAAAGUUAGAAAAGGACACAAAGGCCAUCCAACCCCCUGCCAUCCAGGAAUACACAAUCAAAACAUUUAUGACAGAUUGUCAUGCAGUCUCAGUUUUAAAACGUUCAAAGAAGGGGGCUUCACACACUCAGGGUCAGUGCUAUGCUUUUAAUUAUGUUUAGCCUUUUCUUACACAAAAAGUGACCUGAUAUAGAAUAAUUGUUGGACCACAACUCUUAUCUGCACUUGCUGCCAACUAUGCCAACAGGGCUUUCAAUAACAACUGUUGUGGUUAUGUCGUUGUUUCAUGUCUUCAAGAUGUUUCUGUUUUAUGGCAACCCUAAAAUGAACUGUCAUGGAGAUUUCCUGGCAGCAUUUACCAUUGUGUUUCUCUGAAGCUGAAAGAGUAGAGCCUUGCUCAAGGUAAGUCUGUGGAUUUUCAUGGUUGAACAUGGAUCUGGCCUGUUUCUUAUUCUGAAAGCUAUGUUUGAUGGAAGAAGGGAGGUCUCUUCCUCCACAACUUCAUCUCUAUUGACUUAUUCACUUGGUCAACAUUCCCCAAACUGCUGCCCUCUAGGUUUUGGGCUUUUGGUGCCCAUCAGUCCCAGCCACCAUGGCUGAAGACCAAGAAUGCUGGAAAUUAAAGUAGAAAAUACCACAUGAGGAUCACAUUGGGGAAAGGAGGCAUCAUUUUUUUCUCUCCAAUUCAACUCUUAUUUACACUCCUAUCCUGCCUUCACAGCGGGUUUUACCUUUCAGAAACCACACCUAGGAUUCCAUUGUAAACAUAAGAGGCCAUCCAUGCAGCUUCUUCGUGGUGCUUCUUGCUCAUUACCCACCACCAGUUCCUUAAACCAAACCAACCUUGCAUUCAUAACUCACCACAAACAAGGGCCUCCCCCUUUCCGCUCCAGCACUCCCACGGUGCCACAAAGGCAUCACAACGGGGAGUGGGGCAAGCUGUUUACCACACAAUAGCUCACUCUUCCGCCUGCCCAAGUACCUUUCAGGAUGUUAACAUGUGGAACAACACUCCUUUCUUUUUUUUUCUAGCACCACUUUGGAGUAAAAACCGUGUCCAAAACCAAAGGUGAGAAUGUUGCAGCCCUACAGAUGUUGCUGAAUUGCAGCUCCUAUUGAGUUCACCAUUGGGUGGAACCUAAAUAAGGAAGUAAACAAUGAGGGAUAACCCAGUGACUCAGAGCGAUGGCACAGAUGGAGUGAACAAUGACAAGGAUCUGAUUCAGCACAACAGGAAGGAGAACCCAUUGACCGAAGGAAAAUGAAGUUCAACAACCUCACUUAAACUUUUGAAGAUUGUUUUGCAUAGCUCUUACUGUACAGACAUUUAAUGACCAGCAUACACCUCUCAUAGGAGUAGCCAAUAGCUUUCCAAGUUUCAUUCCUUCUAUCCUCUUCCAGAAUCAGCAACUACAUUUGAUAUGGUUAACACCAUGACACAGGCUACUGCUGAAUGUCCAUGAGAGCAGAAAAACCCAUUUUAGUCCAGAUAUUUGGACUGCCCUGUGGUAUUUUCAUAAUUUACUGCUAAUGACACUGAGUUAGUUAAUUCAAGCCUGUGAAGAAAAGAGCUAAACAUGAUGAGGAAGCCAAAAUCCCCUCUAGUCCUUCUUCCUCUAUGGAAUCCCCAAAGACUGAGUAAUAGGGAGUUGUGAAGGGUAUUAGUCAGGAUUUGUUCCUGCCAAUCCAAUUCAGGGUGAUUUUUAAGCUUCUCCGGUGUCUUUGACAAUUCCUUCCCGCUUUCAGUUUUGUACAAGUUGAGUAUCCCUUAUCUCAGGCAUGGGCAAACUUUGGCCCUCUGGGUGUUUUGGACUUCAACUCCCACAAUUCCUAACAGCCGGUAAAGUCCAAAACACCCGGAGGGCCCAAGUUUGUCCAAGCCUUCCUUACUAGUAUUCCAAACUACUCUGAAAUCCAAAAAAUGUCCCUAUUUGUGGCCGAGAUUCUGACUUAUUUUCUUUCUGAUGGUUCAAUGCACACAAACUUUGUAUUAUGUGCAAUAGUAUCUUUUAAAUUUGUAUAUUGCCUUCAGGUUAUUUGCAUUUGGUGUUUAUGAAGCAUAAAUGAAUGUAAUGUUUAG